RNAcentral lists this ribosomal RNA (1715 nucleotides) under Triticum aestivum (bread wheat). RNAcentral's name for it is "partial small subunit ribosomal RNA". Lineage: Eukaryota; Viridiplantae; Streptophyta; Magnoliopsida; Poales; Poaceae. The record is from RNAcentral.
AUCCAUGCCAUCUCUCCACCCCCAACCCCCCCUCAAGUUGCUCCCCAACUUCCAUUUGCGGCAACGUGAAGGCCCAAGCGAACGCGGAGAGAGGCUCCUGCCCGGCCGGGAUUCCAGAAGCUUCCAGCGCUGUAGCACCCGAGCGCCGGGGCUCGGGGCUGUAGCGCGGCGUGGCGGCCCGCGCGGCGCGCGCUCCUGCGGCCGCGGGCGAGAUCGAGCAGGCGGGGAGCUCGCGAAUCGGGGGCGGCGGCGGCGGAGCGCAAUGCCGCGCCGUCGGCGGUAGGGAUGGCGGCAGCGGAGACGGCGGCGGCAUGGCGAGGGGCAUAGCGCGGGCGGCGUCGUUCGGCGGCCGCGCGACUGCGGCGGGGUGGUUCUCGUACCGGCGCAUCACCGUGGCCGUCUGCCUCGCCAACCUCGUCGCCGCGCUGCUCGUGCUCCGCUCCCUCACCUCCUUCGCCCCCGCGCCCAAACGGGUUGAGGUGGUGCAGUACACGGAGGAGCAGAUUAGGAGGGUGGAGGAGUCGAUCCGGAUUCGCCGCGAGGCCGAGCCCGUCGAGCUCGUCCAGGCGGUGAAGAAGCUGCGCAAGGUUUUCGCACGGGAGGAGAAGAGGCGGAAGGAGCUGCCUCUCGAGCUGAAGCUGAGGGUAUCGUAUGAGCUUGUGGGGCGGCUGAACGGCCUAGGGGAUAACGGCAGUGCCAUCCAGCAACGAGAAGCUCUGGAAUCAUGGCGUGUUGAGACUCUAAAAGAAGCAAAAAGUGCAUCUACUCAGAAUUCAUCAAAUUUGGGCCUCUCCAGUGAGGAAGCACGAUUGUUAAAGCGAGCCCUGGAGUUCAACUGGCAUGCGCUGUUGGAGGAUAUUGGUCUUUGGAUUUCACCAGAAAUCCCACACACCGAGCAUGAUGACAAACCUGAGAAUGAACCAGAAGAAGAAAUAAUAGCUGGUCCACCUUUGCAUCCACAAUGCAACACUGAGCUACAUGCCGAUUAUGGUGGCGCUGCUGUGAGAUGGGGCUUAACGCACCACAAAGAAUCUGCUGCUGAUUGUUGUCAAGCAUGUCUAGACCAGGCUAGGAAUGCCAAGCCGGGUGAAUUAAAGUGCAAUAUAUGGGUAUAUUGCCCUUCAGAGUUUGGUUGCUAUUCACCAGAUAAAUAUGAGCAUAAACAUCAGGAGUGCUGGUUGAAACAGGCUGACCAGCCUAAACUGAACUUCAAAGACAAGUAUUCCGAGUCUUACAGAGAUUCUCAUCCGAGAGCCCCCGUUGUUGUGCCCUGGAUGUCGGGUGUCACCAGCGCAUGAGCAGCUCGUUCAGAGACUGGGAGAUUUGCACUGACGAACCCUCAUAUACCGAUUCUUUCAUUUGCCACGACACUGUUUUGUUUUCCUUGGUGUAUAUGAUGUAAAACUUAGAUUAGACGAUUUGAUGAAAGCAAAAGGGGCUCCUUUGAGGAAGGCUUGUUGAGGUGCAGGGGCCAAGGGACGUGGUGUAGAUGAACUAAAUCCAAUGAUGAUUCAGCUCACGGCCACCUCCCACUUUUCCACUCUACCAGUUGGUUUUCUGUGUUAUCAGCGAGUUGAUCACCAAGCUCCUGUGCUAUUUUCUUUCAUGUAAAAGUGCAUUGUCACUUUGCCAGUCACAUAUGAACAUGGGGUUACGAGUUCACACACGAAAGCUAUAAAAUUUCCGUGCAUGACAUCCUCUCAUGACACGCUGUU